AUAGCGUAUAUUAAAGUUGUUGAGGUUAAAAAGCUCGUAGUUGAACCUUGGCCCUGGCUGGCUGGUCCGCCUCACCGCGAGCACUGGUCCGGCCGGGGCUUUCCCUCUGGGGAUCCUCAUGCCCUUCACUGGGUGUGUUGGGGAACCAGGACUUUUACUGUGAACAAAUCAGAUCGCUCAAAGAAGGCUCUCGCUCGAAUGCUUCAGCAUGGAAUAAUGAAAUAGGACGUGCGGUUUUAUUUUGUUGUUUUCUAGGACCGCCGUAAUGAUUAAUAGGGACAGUCGGGGGCAUCAGUAUUCAAUUGUCAGAGGUGAAAUUCUUGGAUCAAUUGAAGACUAACUACUG
RNAcentral lists this ribosomal RNA (346 nucleotides) under uncultured eukaryote. RNAcentral describes it as "SSU rRNA". It matches the Rfam family "Eukaryotic small subunit ribosomal RNA", at positions 594 to 945 of the family's 1831-position model. The record is from RNAcentral.